CUCUUAUCCAGAGUGGUGGAGGGACUGGCCCUAUGAAACCCGGCAACCUAUGAAAUUCAUGAGGUGCUAAAUCCUGCAGAAUACUUCUGAUAGAUAAGAG
Molecule: non-coding RNA, 100 nt
Filed under: Desulfuribacillus alkaliarsenatis
Lineage: Bacteria; Bacillati; Bacillota; Desulfuribacillia; Desulfuribacillales; Desulfuribacillaceae
Description: SAM-I sequence
Rfam family: SAM riboswitch aptamer (S box leader)
About the family: The SAM riboswitch is found upstream of a number of genes which code for proteins involved in methionine or cysteine biosynthesis in Gram-positive bacteria.
Source: Rfam by way of RNAcentral